Molecule: ribosomal RNA, 374 nt
Filed under: uncultured bacterium
Lineage: Bacteria
Description: bacterial SSU rRNA
Rfam family: Bacterial small subunit ribosomal RNA
Source: RNAcentral
GACGUAGGUGGCAAGCGUUGUCCGGAAUCACUGGGCGUAAAGGGCGCGUAGGCGGUAUAUCAAGUCAAUUGUGAAAGACCCGGGCUUAACCCGGGAAGUGCAGUUGAAACUGGUAAACUUGAGUGCAGUAGAGGGAAGCGGAAUUCCUGGUGUAGCGGUGAAAUGCGUAGAGAUCAGGAGGAACACCGGUGGCGAAGGCGGCUUUCUAGGCUGCAACUGACGCUGAGGCGCGAAAGCGUGGGGAGCGAACAGGAUUAGAUACCCUGGUAGUCCACGCUGUAAACGAUGAAUACUAGGUGUGGGUAUCGCAGGAUAUCCGUGCCGCAGCUAACGCAAUAAGUAUUCCGCCUGGGGAGUACGGCCGCAAGGUUGAA